AUACUAACCUGGCAGGGGAGAUACCAUGAUCAUGUACGCUGUUUUCCGAGCGUGAGGCUCAUCCUUGGUAUUCCAGAUGGGCUGACCCCUGAGAUGUCCCCAAAUGCGGGAAACUCAACUGCAUAAUUUGUGGUAGUGCAGGACUUGUUUGCACUCACCCCUGGG
This is a small nuclear RNA of Mustela putorius furo (domestic ferret), 165 nucleotides long. Its record names the gene U1. It matches the Rfam family "U1 spliceosomal RNA". From Rfam's summary of the family: U1 is a small nuclear RNA (snRNA) component of the spliceosome (involved in pre-mRNA splicing). The record is from Ensembl. Lineage: Eukaryota; Metazoa; Chordata; Mammalia; Carnivora; Mustelidae.